GGGGUAUAUGUCUUCGGAUAUAGAGACCGGCGCACGGGUGCGUAACGCGUAUGCAAUCUACCUUUUACAGAGGGAUAGCCCAGAGAAAUUUGGAUUAAUACCUCAUAGUAUAGCUCUACCGCAUGGUAGUACUAUUAAAGUCACAACGGUAAAAGAUGAGCAUGCGUCCCAUUAGCUAGUUGGUAAGGUAACGGCUUACCAAGGCAACGAUGGGUAGGGGUCCUGAGAGGGAGAUCCCCCACACUGGUACUGAGACACGGACCAGACUCCUACGGGAGGCAGCAGUGAGGAAUAUUGGACAAUGGGCGCAAGCCUGAUCCAGCCAUGCCGCGUGCAGGAUGACGGUCCUAUGGAUUGUAAACUGCUUUUGUACGAGAAGAAACACUGCUUCGUGAAGCAGCUUGACGGUAUCGUAAGAAUAAGGAUCGGCUAACUCCGUGCCAGCAGCCGCGGUAAUACGGAGGAUCCAAGCGUUAUCCGGAAUCAUUGGGUUUAAAGGGUCCGUAGGCGGUUUAGUAAGUCAGUGGUGAAAGCCCAUCGCUCAACGGUGGAACGGCCAUUGAUACUGUUGAACUUGAAUUAUUAGGAAGUAACUAGAAUAUGUAGUGUAGCGGUGAAAUGCUUAGAGAUUACAUGGAAUACCAAUUGCGAAGGCAGGUUACUACUAAUUGAUUGACGCUGAUGGACGAAAGCGUGGGGAGCGAACAGG
Molecule: ribosomal RNA, 709 nt
Filed under: uncultured Flavobacteriales bacterium
Lineage: Bacteria; Pseudomonadati; Bacteroidota; Flavobacteriia; Flavobacteriales
Description: bacterial SSU rRNA
Rfam family: Bacterial small subunit ribosomal RNA
Source: RNAcentral